RNAcentral lists this ribosomal RNA (804 nucleotides) under uncultured bacterium. RNAcentral's name for it is "bacterial SSU rRNA". It matches the Rfam family "Bacterial small subunit ribosomal RNA", at positions 95 to 899 of the family's 1533-position model. The record is from RNAcentral.
CCGGCGAACGGGUGCGUAACACGUGAGCAAUCUGCCGAUGUCUGGGGGAUAGCCGGGCCAACGCCCGGGUAAUACCGCAUACGCUUGUUGGGGGACAUCCCCUGGCAAGGAAACCUCCGGGGGACAUCGAGGAGCUCGCGGCCUAUCAGCUAGUUGGUGAGGUAACGGCUCACCAAGGCGACGACGGGUAGCUGGUCUGAGAGGAUGGCCAGCCACAUUGGGACUGCGACACGGCCCAGACUCCUACGGGAGGCAGCAGUGGGGAAUAUUGCGCAAUGGACGAAAGUCUGACGCAGCGACGCCGCGUGUAGGAUGACGCCUUUCGGGGUGUAAACUACUGUUGCCCGGGACGAACAUCCUCUUUCGAGAGGACUGACGGUACCGGGUGAGGAAGCACCGGCUAACUCUGUGCCAGCAGCCGCGGUAAUACAGAGGGUGCGAGCGUUGUCCGGAAUCACUGGGCGUAAAGGGCGCGUAGGUGGCUUGGUAAGCGUGUGGUGAAAGCUCGGGGCUCAACCCCGAGUCUGCCGUGCGAACUGCCGAGCUCGAGCAAAGUAGAGGCAGGUGGAAUUUCGGGUGUAGCGGUGGAAUGCGUAGAGAUCCGAAAAAACACCAGUGGCGAAGGCGGCCUGCUGGGCUUUUGCUGACACUGAGGCGCGACAGCGUGGGGAGCAAACAGGAUUAGAUACCCUGGUAGUCCACGCCGUAAACGAUGGGUACUAGGCGUCUGGGGGAGCGACCCCCUGGGUGCCGGCGCUAACGCAUGAAGUACCCCGCCUGGGGAGUACGACCGCAAGGUUGAAA